CAUUAUCGAAUUAUAAGCGAGGGUUGUUGCUGGCCUCGAAAGAGGCAUGUGCACGCCCGAGCUCUUAAAUCCACAACACACCUGUGAACCCACCGUAGGCCUUCGGGCUUAUGUAUCAUAUACUCUGAAUGUGUCAUAGAAUGUUCAUGUUGCCUUAAAACGCAAUCAAAUACAACUUUCAACAACGGAUCUCUUGGCUCUCGCAUCGAUGAAGAACGCAGCGAAAUGCGAUAAGUAAUGUGAAUUGCAGAUUUUCAGUGAAUCAUCGAAUCUUUGAACGCACCUUGCGCUCCUUGGUAUUCCGAGGAGCAUGCCUGUUUGAGUGUCAUUAAAUUCUCAACCCCACCGAUUUGCUUCGGGGGGAUUGGACUUGGAGCGUGCUGGCGAAGGUCGGCUCCUCUUUAAAUGCAUCAGUGGAGAGAAACUUGCCCCAGUGUGAUAAUCCUGUUGCGCUGUGGUGGGUGAAAGUCUGCUUCCAACCGUCCCUCCGGGGACAUAUGUCAUCUUAUUUUGACCUCAAAUCAGGUAGGACUACCCGCUGAACUUAAGCAUAUCAAUA
RNAcentral lists this ribosomal RNA (559 nucleotides) under Amphinema sp. LM3802. RNAcentral describes it as "eukaryotic LSU rRNA". The stretch from base 174 to 328 matches the Rfam family "5.8S ribosomal RNA". The record is from RNAcentral. Lineage: Eukaryota; Fungi; Basidiomycota; Agaricomycetes; Atheliales; Atheliaceae.